This 520-nucleotide unclassified non-coding RNA is filed under the name uncultured Glomus. Its description in RNAcentral is "SSU rRNA". It matches the Rfam family "Eukaryotic small subunit ribosomal RNA", at positions 569 to 1089 of the family's 1831-position model. The record is from RNAcentral. Lineage: Eukaryota; Fungi; Glomeromycota; Glomeromycetes; Glomerales; Glomeraceae.
AGCAGCCGCGGUAAUUCCAGUUCCAAUAGCGUAUAUUAAAGUUGUUGCAGUUAAAAAGCUCGUAGUUGAAUUUCGGGGUUAGUAGGUUGGUCAUGCCUCUGGUAUGUACUGGUCUCACUGAUUCCUCCUUCCUGAUGAGCCGUAAUGCCAUUAAUUUGGUGUUGCGGGGAAUUUGGACUGUUAACUUUGAAAAAUUAGAGUGUUUAAAGCAAGCUAACGCUUGAAUACAUUAGCAUGGAAUAAUGAAAUAGGACGUUCGAUCCUAUUUUGUUGGUUUCUAGGAUUGACGUAAUGAUUAAUAGGGAUAGUUGGGGGCAUUAGUAUUCAAUUGUCAGAGGUGAAAUUCUUGGAUUUAUUGAAGACUAACUACUGCGAAAGCAUUUGCCAAGGAUGUUUUCAUUAAUCAAGAACGAAAGUUAGGGAUCGAAGACGAUCAGAUACCGUCGUAGUCUUAACCAUAAACUAUGCCGACUAGGGAUCGGAUGAUGUUUAAUUUUUUAAUGUACUCAUUCGGCGCCUU